CGGCAGAGGAAACCUUAAGGUGGCCUCUCUCUUUGUCAACCUCUUCUCUGCCCUCUUGUCCUCGGGAAAGCUACGGUGGCGAAUUAGAUAUGGUAUCCAGGAAAUUGGAAAAGCAGCAACAGUACCUAAUGCAUGGAAGACCAAAAUCUAGAAAAUUCUUGAUAGUAGUGUUAGGAUACAAGUAUCAAUUAUUAGUAGGCCAUGUAAAGCUGGUUUAAGUCAAAAAUUUUUGGAACUCGACUGGAUAAUUUGUUGAUGCGUGUUAUCAUUAUCUAUCGUUGAAUGUCCCUCUAAAUUGUUCACAACUUCUUCUUUUUAUGAUUGUAUCAAUUUCCUUGCUUCCUUCUUUCUGAUUAUCUAUCUAGUAUCUUACCUUAAUUAUCUGCAUAGUAUGCAAUGUUUUGCAUGUGAAAAUUAAGUGUUGUGAUUUUGAUCUUUUCCUCUUUAAUGGAUUGGGAAACAGGGACCAUAAACACCAUUCAUUUAAUCAGUAUUAAUUGUGGAACUUCUCUUCUAUUGGCUUGUUAUAUAUACCAUGCUCGUUAAUAUAUGUGCUUUUACAAGAAGCCAAUAGAACAGAAUUCCACAGCUAAUACUAGUGGCUGACCAGUCCUGCAUUGAGGGAAAAAUAUUUUGUGUCCAGUUCCAUUGUCUGACAUUAUUGUUAGUGUCUAUCUACUUGUGUUUCCUCGUGCAAAGAUGGCAUUGCAGAACAUUGGUGCUUCAAACAUCGAUGAUGCCUUCUAUCAGUUUAAUGUGCCCAAGAUGAUAACUAAAGUAGAAGGUUGUGGGAAUGACAUCAAGACAAACAUUUUGAACAUGGUGGACAUUGCAAAUGCCUUGCACCGACUAGCUUCUGACACUACCAAGUAUGUUGGCUGUGAGCUUCGUGCUCAAUCCAAGUUCGAUGAAAAGACUGGUGCUUAGCUUGUUAACGGAGCUCAUGACACUGCCAAAUUAGCUGGAUUACUAGAGAACUUUAUCAAAGAGUAUGUACUGUGUUAUGGAUCUGGUAAUCCUGUGACUGCACAUGCUUUUUGAUAAUGUGCACAUUCCACUGGUAAUGUGCCUGAGAAGGAAGAGAAGAAAGCAAAAUCAAGAGUGGAAAGUGGGAGCUGCAAAAGCAGGAACUGAAGCAAAGGAGACACCUAGCACUAUUGAGCAGAUGAUUGUAGAGAUCAAAGGUACACUGAAGAAGGGAUCCAAACCUAGUGAGCUUGGCUCCUUUCUGGGCUCUGACUGAGUCUUAUCAAGAGAAAACGAAUGCACUUUUUCAGGCCCUGUUUUUGGGUGUGGGUAAAAUAGGUUGCAAAAUGGGUUGUCAAGAAGAAGAAAGAACUACCUUCUGGCUAUAGUGCAUGAUAAGGAAUCACAGAUGCGUCUUCUGUGUGCUAUUGGAACAUUCUGUGGGAAUUUAGUAGGGAUGCACUGAGGAAGUUGCUUUGGUAGCUAAAUCUCUUUAUGAUGAAGAUGGUUUGGAAGAAGAUUACAUAGUGCAGUGGUACAAAGAUGGUCGAAUGCUGAGUCAGAGGUAGAAGAGGAGUAAUAAUAGUUUCUAUCACGUAUAUUAGUACUUUAAUCAUCUCAUUUCCUGCCAGAACUAGUAUCGAUCUGUGUGAUGCCUAUUUCAUCCCUUUGCGAGUUUUAAACUUGGUCAUGUACCAGUACUAUUGUGUUUGACUUGGUUCUUAUCGAAAUAAAGAAGUUAUAUUGUGGUUGGUA
Musa acuminata AAA Group (dessert banana) is the source of this 1722-nucleotide long non-coding RNA. RefSeq lists it as uncharacterized. The record is from RefSeq and is a predicted model, not a curated record. The transcript has 2 exons. NCBI's taxonomy places the organism in Eukaryota, Viridiplantae, Streptophyta, Magnoliopsida, Zingiberales, Musaceae.